UGUGCUCCCCCGCCAAUUCCUGGCUGUCCACACUCUGGAUCAUUUCAAAAAAAUGCACCGAGUCGCGACAUUUGUUCCAGUGGAGAUGGCCGAUCAUCUGCCAGUGAAGUUGACGCGGGCACUGUCCGAUCUUUACCUUGGCUUCCUGCACCCGGUUUUCGCCAAACAAGCUCAAGCCCAGGUCCGCCGCAUGGGCCACCCGUAUACGGCGGUUGGCCCUUCGUCACGGCCCAUCACGUGACGAUCCGCCACAUUUCUCCCGGCGGGGGCGCACGCCGCAGUCAUGCGGGUUCAAACCGGCUCCAAGUUUUCUGCCAAUCCCAUGUGGAACACAUACGCGAACUUGCGGGUGAUGGCAAGCGCCCCCUUGAAGAAAGACUCGCGCGCUGGAACCGAUUCGGACCUGUUCCACCCAAAAAAACAGUUCGACUCCGGUCGGCGCUCGUGUUACUUUGCCAUUGUGAACGCUAUUUCGAACCUGCUGCUUGCGAACGCGCUGCUAGGUACAGACGCGUCGGCAGUCGCGGGUUAUACGUCGUUGGCCAAUUUUGAUGAACCCAGCUGCCGGCGUCGGCAGUGGGUUUUUUGUUUACCUCACUCACGGCAGGAUCAACCGGAGAACGUCGAAG
Molecule: ribosomal RNA, 629 nt
Filed under: uncultured archaeon
Lineage: Archaea
Description: partial 16S ribosomal RNA
Source: RNAcentral